ACCAAAAAUUUAAGCUGAUAGUUGUGGCCCACGAAUAUGUUAUAUACUCUAUCAGUUUUAGACUCUCUGUUGUACCAUUUUCUUACAUAUUUGUCACAGUGCUUCCAGUGAUUUAUAAGUCAAUUGUUAGGCUUAUUGCUAUCCAAUUAAUGUAAAUUUUACAUCAUUUGGUGGAGAUAUUAGCAUUGACUAGGAUGCGGGAUUGGAGAGAUAUAUCAAUCACGCAGAACAUAUGACACAUAGCUAUUGUUAGCAUUACAAUGUGGA
RNAcentral lists this microRNA precursor (267 nucleotides) under Salicornia europaea (common glasswort). Its description in RNAcentral is "miR11049 stem-loop (seu-MIR11049)". The record is from miRBase by way of RNAcentral. Lineage: Eukaryota; Viridiplantae; Streptophyta; Magnoliopsida; Caryophyllales; Amaranthaceae.